GACGGGAAGGAGGCGUUGGGGGGCGGUUGGGUUUACCCUUCGAGGUGAGCGCGGCCUUGUUUUUAGGGACGCCCGGACGGGAGGCGUUUGUUGCUUUCGCAGCCGAGUGGUGGAAAUGUAUUGGCUCUUCAGGGCAGAGAUCUGAUGGAUUUGUUGACUCCUCUGUGUGAGAAAGGCUCGGCCUGCUGCAGGUGUUAACGCGAAGCCAUGCUGGAGCUGUGGACGUCAGUUUCCUCAGCUCCCAGCUGUUCACUUCGAACGUGACCUCGAGGUCUGCUCUCCCCUUCCCUUUAGCUGACAAUGUAACAGUGGAAGAAUAAAGAGUCCUAAGAUAACCACUUUUCUGCUACAUUCCAGCAGAUGAGAAAAGCAGCUGCUUGAAUAAAAGUCAGUCUGAGAGGAAUGGUAAUUUAUUUUUUCAGUCAGUAUCUUCAGUUACAGAAGAUAAAUAGAACUUGACAAUGAUUAUAGUGCCCUGAAAAAGAAUGGCUGCCAAUUUCCCUGUAUAUUACAAAGUAUUGCUUCUUUUCUCAUCUAACUUUAAACAUCUUAAGGGAAGUGCAUUACGGGAAGGCAAUGAACAAAGGCUCAACAUUUCAUAGUAAAGUCAGAUUUUCGACAUUUUAAUUUUAAAAUGUAUUUUUUAAACAUUAAGUUUUUUUAAGACGUUUAUUCUGGAUUGUUUUGAUAAAUAAUACAACUUAAUUCACUGAAGCUUCUAAAAUUAUUUACAAAUAUGAAAUAUAAGUCCUGGUUAGAAUUUGGAUAGUUUUAAAGCGUAAAAGAAUCCACAUGCUAACUUCUCAGUAUGAUUUAAUAAAUCAAACUGCUAAACAUCUGAUUUCUUCGGCAGUUCACCUUUGGCCCUGUAAUAGGGUAACUGGUAUUGUGGAAGAAUAAUUGUAAAAUGUCAAAUCUUCAGCUGUUUAACAACUGAUUAAGUGUGGUGCUGUUGAGACUAAGCAGUAAAACAUGCCAGAGAUUAAAAUUGAUUACUAUUUUUUUCA
This is a non-coding RNA of Macaca mulatta (Rhesus monkey), 1007 nucleotides long. The record is from RefSeq and is a predicted model, not a curated record. NCBI's taxonomy places the organism in Eukaryota, Metazoa, Chordata, Mammalia, Primates, Cercopithecidae.